RNAcentral lists this ribosomal RNA (253 nucleotides) under uncultured archaeon. RNAcentral describes it as "partial 16S ribosomal RNA". It matches the Rfam family "Archaeal small subunit ribosomal RNA", at positions 474 to 726 of the family's 1478-position model. The record is from RNAcentral.
CCCCGGCGCCACAAGUGGUUAUCACGAUUAUUGGGCCUAAAGCGUUCGUAGCUGGUUUGGUAAAUCUCUUGUGAAAUUGUUCGGCUUAACCGGACAGCGUGCAGGAGACACUGCCAGACUCGAGACCGGGAGGGGUUAGAAGUAUGUCGUGGGGACUGGUAAAAUGGGAUAAUCCACGAUAGACUACCGAUGGCGAAGGCAUCUAACCAGAACGGAUCUGACAGUGAGGAACGAAAGCCAGGGGAGCGAACCG